UACGUAUGGAGCAAGCGUUAUCCGGAUUUACCGGGUGUAAAGGGAGCGCAGGCGGUACGGCAAGUCCGAUGUGAAAGCCCGGGGCUCAACCCCGGGACUGCAUUGGAAACUGCCGCACUAGAGUGCCGGAGAGGUAAGUGGAAUUCCUAGUGUAGCGGUGAAAUGCGUAGAUAUUAGGAGGAACACCAGUGGCGAAGGCGGCUUACUGGACGGUAACUGACGCUGAGGCUCGAAAGCGUGGGGAGCAAACA
RNAcentral lists this ribosomal RNA (251 nucleotides) under uncultured bacterium. Its description in RNAcentral is "partial 16S ribosomal RNA". It matches the Rfam family "Bacterial small subunit ribosomal RNA", at positions 524 to 774 of the family's 1533-position model. The record is from RNAcentral.